RNAcentral lists this ribosomal RNA (468 nucleotides) under uncultured bacterium. Its description in RNAcentral is "partial 16S ribosomal RNA". It matches the Rfam family "Bacterial small subunit ribosomal RNA", at positions 28 to 507 of the family's 1533-position model. The record is from RNAcentral.
GACGAACGCUGGCGGCGUGCUUAACACAUGCAAGUCGAACGGAAAGGCCCUGCUUUUGUGGGGUGCUCGAGUGGCGAACGGGUGAGUAACACGUGAGUAACCUGCCCUUGACUUUGGGAUAACUUCAGGAAACUGGGGCUAAUACCGGAUAGGAGCUCCUGCUGCAUGGUGGGGGUUGGAAAGUUUCGGCGGUUAGGGAUGGACUCGCGGCUUAUCAGCUUGUUGGUGGGGUAGUGGCUUACCAAGGCUUUGACGGGUAGCCGGCCUGAGAGGGUGACCGGCCACAUUGGGACUGAGAUACGGCCCAGACUCCUACGGGAGGCAGCAGUGGGGAAUAUUGCACAAUGGGCGGAAGCCUGAUGCAGCAACGCCGCGUGCGGGAUGACGGCCUUCGGGUUGUAAACCGCUUUCGCCUGUGACGAAGCGUGAGUGACGGUAAUGGGUAAAGAAGCACCGGCUAAAUACGUG